CCCUUUCUUGGUACCUGUGUCUGGAUGAAAGUAGCCCAUUGGUCAGUUAGGGCCUCUGGGUAUUUUGAGGCGGGUCGCCCGAUGGGCCUGUAAGGGUUAAGUGGUAGUGUAGGGCUAACCUGUAGCCUUGAGAAAUAACAGCUUUGUUCUGACACUGUAGGUUAGGAGAUAACAGCCUUGUCCUAUCCAUCAAGGGAACAAAAGUUCAAGGAAAAUCAACUGGAUUAGCAUUUGACUGGAUUGGGGCAAGGGCAUGUCUGAACUGUUUCUACCCCCAUCUGGGAACUAUCUCUUUGUUCUGUUCCCAGGUGAUGAUAAGACGACGUGGUUUCGGCUAUAAAAACUCUGUACCCCGGCUGAUCGAGGCUGCACUCUGAUCAAGAGUGUCGGUCCCGAUCAGUCGGCCUUGCCUCUCAUUGCAAUAAACUUUGCUGGGACUGUCACUGGUGCCCGUAGCAUUCUGUUCAGGAGUCGUGUGGAUGCAACAGGCCUGGGUGUCGAGGUGGCUGUGGUCACUGAGGGCCCUUUCGCCUUGCUCUACAUGCCAUUGUUCAAGCCUGUGGCCUAGAAGCAGCCUCUACGAACAAUACGUACGACACGCUAUUGUUCGGCCUCAAAAAGUAGGAACAUUCUGACACCGGCCGUACCGCGGAUGAGCCUUGAGCACACGGUGCUCACGGAUACGAUCCGGACACAAAAGACGAUACUGUGCAAGUCCGCUUACACGAGGAGGCGCCGAGACGGAAGGCAGGACGGUGGGCGCCAGGGCUGGGGGAGGGGCUGGGGGGGUCUGUGUAUCGUGGGGACAGAGUUCCUGUUCCGGGAGAUGGAGAGUCCAGGAGACGGAGGGAGGGGUUGGCUGCACAACCAAGUGAAUGGACUCAACGCCACCGGCCUGUCCACGUAAAAUGGUCAAGAAGGUAAAAGCACGUUUCGUAUGUUUUACCGCAAGCUUGGGGUAAGAUCCAGUGUAAUGAAAGCAAGUUCCCUAUUCUCCCAGAGCCUCCGUAUCAGAUUUAGCAUAAUAAGCCCAAGUGAUGGACCAAGGGCUGAAAAACAUCCCUUUAGGACAAAACACAAAACCGGGGCUGUGGCUGGGCGUUCUGGUUCAUUCCGGAUGCUGCUGGAGGGCUGUUGCUGGCACAAGCAGAGACUGGGCCUGUGGGCGGCCAGGCUGGGUUGGGGACUGGGGCCGAGAGCCUUCCUGCCAGGGAGGGGCCUGUCCCCGGAGGUCCCCAGGGUGAGGGUGGCCUGAUGCUCAGUCUGUGCAUAGUAGUAUCUGCUCCCCUUGGGUAGACAGUGCCCAGAGGGUCCUUCUCAGCCACGCGUCCCAGCAGGCGAAGUAACUGGUCCAUGUGCUUUCUGUUCCCCUGGGGUGUGGCCACAGGGGUGAGAAGACACAGACCCUGUCGCUGUGCCGUGUCCAUCGAGGGCACACAGAGCCUCCUUCCCUCCUUUCUCCCACCCCCCAUCCCCACCCCGUUUCCGGCCCUUCACUAGCCUUUCUGCUUUCUUCCUCUGCUGUGUCCUGCCUUCUGCUGUCCGACAUGGGGCAGGGACAGCAACCUGUGUGGGUGUCCUCCCUGGCAGGCGUGCUCCCGGAUGGCAGACGUAAUCAAAUACAAAUGAAAAGCACCGAGAGGUGCACUGGUGGCCAACAUAUCUGUGACCAGGACUCCCAGGCUUGGCCGGACACUGCCGGGGGUGAGCCAGGAGCUUGGAGACGGAGCCUGGGGGCCCCUUACCUUACCUCUGGACGACGGUCAGGCAGAACAGGCACUCAGCCAAUGAGGACCUGCACUCGAGAGCAGGCUGAACCAGCGAGAGAGAUGACUUCUCUGCCCCAAAGAACACCGAUACUGGUCACAAAAACAUCCCAGAGGGUAGGAGUCCAUUUGUGCGAAAGGUCCAGAAAAGGCAGACCCUCGGAGAAAGGAGGGAAACAUCACGGGAAUGGGAUGGGACCCUAGGUGGGGGCUCAUGUCUCUCUUCUUCACCUGGUGACCUUUGCUCCUCUCCAGAGAGACACAGAGGAAACAUAACUGCACGUCGCUAGGUGGAAGAAGGCAACGUGAAGGAUCCCACCCGCGUGACCUUCUGGAAAGGGUCACACUACAGACACAGCCAAAGGAAAACCAGUGGUUGCCACGGGGUGGAGGGGAGGCAGGGAGGGAUGAGUAGGGAGAGCACAGAGGGUCUUUAGGGCAGUGAAACUAUAUGAGGCUGUACGAGGGGUGCGUGCCAUCACACGUUUGUCCAAACCCACGGAGUCCACACCACCAAGAGGGAGCCUAAUAUAAACUGUGGGCGUCAGUUAGGAAUAAUGAAGUAAUGCUCAUCCAUUCAUUGGAACAAACGUGCCCCAUGCACUGGAGAUGCUCAAAGAAGGGGAACUGUGUGGGGGGAGGGGUGUAGGGGAAUUCUAAGUCCAUACCAUCUGCUCAAUUGUUCUGUAAACUGAAGACUAUCCUAAAAAAUAAGAUCUGUGAAUUUAUUCUUUUUUUUUUUUUUAAUUUUUUAAAUGUUUA
Long non-coding RNA from Acinonyx jubatus (cheetah), 2528 nucleotides. RefSeq lists it as uncharacterized. The transcript is spliced from 3 exons. Lineage: Eukaryota; Metazoa; Chordata; Mammalia; Carnivora; Felidae. The record is from RefSeq and is a predicted model, not a curated record.